RNAcentral lists this long non-coding RNA (1586 nucleotides) under Taeniopygia guttata (zebra finch). RNAcentral describes it as "lncRNA (ENSTGUG00000028362.1)". Lineage: Eukaryota; Metazoa; Chordata; Aves; Passeriformes; Estrildidae. The record is from RNAcentral.
GGAAUAGAGACGGAUGGAGCUUAUUUUUGUUAGUUUGUUCUUUUCCACUAUUUUGAAGAGACUGAGAUUCAAUGUGCUGCUGUAGGUCCAUUGUUCCUGAGUUGUGAUAAAAUACAACUGCCUCAAAUGAAACAUUUUCAUGAGAAAUUGAUGAAAACCAUGCAGCAGAUGAACCAAUAACAAAACCAGAUUAAUAGAAUACUGCAAGUAUUGGAGCCUCACUUGGAGUGUGUCUGCUCUGGGGAAUCAGAGCGCAGCAGCAUGGACCUCCAGUGUGUGCAGAAUGCAGCUCAAGCUCUCGUGGACAUGGAUGAACCCACUUGGACACCAGGGACCCUUCAUGAAAGACAAAUGAAGCUGCUCAUGAGACCCAUGCAGUAUAGCUGGUGUAUGCUUUUUCUUCAAUUCACAGUUUAUUUACAUUUCUUAUCCUCUAUCACAGUGCUUGUCUAAGUGCAUCAACAGUUCCCAUGAUGGUACAGUGGGAGGCAUAAUUCCCAUUUGUUUGAGUUGUAGAUUUCUUUUCAAAACACUUCAAACACGGGACAAUGAAAAAGAGCUACUACUUCCAGCACAUCACGAGGGAAUACAGAAGCAUCUAAUGGAAUAUUCAACACAGCAGUGUGAAUGCACAGUGGAUGUAUGCAGCUCUCAAAAUCCCUGGAAAACAGAUAAGCACAGUUCUGCUCUGGAGGAAUAUUAUAUGUGACUGGGGUGUCUCAGCAUGUGGGACCUCACCAGUGCUGUCCUGAAUGCGCUGAGGGCUCUGCAGCCACGGUAUUGCUGCAGUCUCCAGGACGUCAGGAAGGGUCAGAGCCCUCAUCACAUUGUCCUCACCUGAAUGAAACGGCUUUGCCAUUUCUCUGACACCCGAUGAAGAUCUGCCCCGAGGAUGGUUCCGGUGUGUACCAAGGAUGAGCAGUGGGGACCCAUGGACAUCUUUUCUUUACCAGGAGUGGAGUGGGUAUUCUGAAUCCAGGAGCCUGGUUAAUGGAGGGAGGCCAUUAACAGAGCUGGUAAAUGGGGCACGGAGCACCCUGAGCCUUUCCCAAGCAGGGAAAGAAAUGACUGCCAUUUCCCAGAGCAGGCACAAAGCUUUGCAGGCCUGCCAGAAGUGCCACCAACCCAGCAGGGAACGCCUCAGCAAAAGCAUUCAGCCAUGCGAGCCGGGCCUUGCCCCGGCGGGCAGCCGGGACAGGCAACGCCUACAGCGGCUGGAGCAGAGUGCCACAGACGAUGCACGAGCUGGAGCAGAGUGCCACAGACAAUGGUGCCAGCUCUGUCCCUGUCGCUGCCGCUGGCAGGUGGCAUCGGCUCCAUCGGGCAGGGACAGCACCGCGGGCUGCCGAGCCCCAGCCCGGCCUUUCGGGCCCUGGCAUUCCCCUGCCGGCCGCCCAGCCCCGCACCGGAGCAGCUCCUGCCUCAGAACCGCCACAUUCUGCAGAUUCCCGGUCUCCUGUGCCGCUGCAUGGCCGCACGCAGAAAUGCAGCUCUGCGGAGGAACCUCUGCGCUCUUUCCCAGUGCAGAUACCGUUGCAACAAAAUCUGUUCAUUCUUUAUCCCACUAUCUUCAUUGUGGAAGCUGA